RNAcentral lists this unclassified non-coding RNA (203 nucleotides) under Hevea brasiliensis (rubber tree). Lineage: Eukaryota; Viridiplantae; Streptophyta; Magnoliopsida; Malpighiales; Euphorbiaceae. The record is from RNAcentral.
GAUUUUUUUUUUUUUUUUAAAUGAAGAAUUACAUUAGUUUUCCUUCAAGGCUAACGUUACAGCAGCCCGCAACCACACAGUACUUUAUUUUUAAACAUGGAAUUGGUAAUAAAAUUAGAAUCAUUGGGAAUUCAAAAAAUAUGAACAUGCAUCUCACUAAAAUUGGUCAGUGCAAUGGGUGCAAAAACAAGCUAAAUUGCCAA